UUCCUGAGACUGUGAAUUCUAUUUUAUUCAUGUUUGCUGCUUUUGUAUCUGCUGAAUGCCAGCUCCCUCUUUUCCAUGGGGUAGGAUUGCAGGAUCUGUGCUCUUUGUUUUAAUAACUUUCUCCUCUUUGAAAUUCCAUUCUUUCUGGUCUGUUUUUAGAUGAUGAAGGAUAGACACUGUGCUGGGCACUAAAGCAUGGACUGGAAGUUUGCACUCUGGUGGCAGGUACUCCUAUCUGAUCCCCUGGCCUGAUGGGGCUGAGGAGGGCUUAGGUGCUGUUUCUCAGCUGUGAUUUCCUCCAUUUAUUAAUUUCAGUGUUGAUUGAAAUGUUUGUCUUUAUUUAUAGCAUAUCCAACAGCUGUGUUGCAACAGAGAAGGUAAGUUUAGAGCUGGGGACAAAGGGGCUGACAAGCUCUGGAUAAUUAAUCUGUUAUGGGUUUUUUUUCUGAUACAAUCCUUAAAGUUUAUAGACAGAUGUUGGAUGUAUUUUCUUGGAGUGUCCUGAUGCUUAAGAUCAGACAGAAAACCAUUGUAAGCACAAUCAAAGAAAUUUCUCAUGAAGAAAAAUUAAUUCUGAAUGUUGGUUUGGGAGAUGAUGGUGAAACUAAUGGGAAAUUGUGAUCUUGGAAAUCAGACAGCUGCUAAAGCCAUUACAAAAUGGCAAGAAACAGAGCAUUUAUUAUAUAUUAUAUAGGGAGGAGAAGAGAUUAAUUUGAGAAUUAGAUUUUUAACCAUUCUUGUAGUAUUUAUUUGUUCUUUAAGAUACAGACACAAAUGUAAAUUCACCAAUCUGUUCUAUGAGAUAUUUUUCCUAUUAAUUUUCCUGAUUGAGAAUUAUUGUUAAUGUCACACUUGUUGCUAGAAGCUGUUGAGCUGGUCAUGCUCAUUUUUCUCUGCUGAGCUCAGUGAAUUUUGCUCUCCACUGUGAUGGAGGAUUACUGGUUGCUGUUAGCUGUGCUUUAAAGACAAGAAUUCCUGGGUUUGAUCAAGUUUAGGACAUGUUUGUUCUAAAGCCUAAUAAAAGCAUUAACUAAUAUAUAUUUCACUUUUCUGAUGUGGGUUAUAAGGGACUUGCCAGUCAAUACAUCUGAAUUUCCUUGUUUUGACAGGUAAUUAAACCUGGAUCUCUUCCUUAGCUAGCAAAGCAAACACUCUCAGAUAUGCUUUGCUAGGCAGAAUCAGGUAUAGACAGCAAGGUUUUAUUAUCUGUGAGGAAAAAUGCACUAUAAGAACAUGAAAUCUUGAUGACCUUGAAUGAAAACAAAGAAAUAAAAUUUUAUGAGAUACAGUAUAUUAAUGCCCCAACUCGGAUGUAGGAAUUCCUGUGCAGUAAUUUUGUUUGAAGUGCCAUUAAAGCUCUGUGUCCAAUCUAUACUUCUGCAGGAAAUGUGAAAUAUCCCAGGGACUGGCUGGCUACCUGAAGGACCCCAGUGUCUGCCUUUCAUGGCAAGUGACCUGAGCAUUGAUGUGCCCCUGGUAGCAGUUCAGGGAGGAUGGAAGGUAGCCUGUGUGCCCAUGCAGAUCUGGUUUCAAGAGCUUCUUUUUGCUUUAUGAUGAACUGGAUUUCCUACAGAGUCUUACAAAACAUGAAAAGUAAUAAAAUCUCUUUGGUCAUGA
Agelaius phoeniceus (red-winged blackbird) is the source of this 1617-nucleotide non-coding RNA. Lineage: Eukaryota; Metazoa; Chordata; Aves; Passeriformes; Icteridae. The record is from RefSeq and is a predicted model, not a curated record.